GAUGAAGAACGUAGCGAAAUGCGAUAAGUAAUGUGAAUUGCAGAAUUCAGUGAAUCAUCGAAUCUUUGAACGCACAUUGCGCCCGCCAGUAUUCUGGCGGGCAUGCCUGUUCGAGCGUCAUUACAACCCUCAGGCCCCCGGGCCUGGCGUUGGGGAUCGGCGGAAGCCCCCUGCGGGCACAACGCCGUCCCCCAAAUACAGUGGCGGUCCCGCCGCAGCUUCCAUUGCGUAGUAGCUAACACCUCGCAACUGGAGAGCGGCGCGGCCACGCCGUAAAACACCCAACUUCUUAAUGUUGACCUCGAAUCAGGUAGGAAUACCCGCUGAACUUAAGCAUAUCAAUAAGCGGAGGA
Molecule: unclassified non-coding RNA, 353 nt
Filed under: soil metagenome
Description: partial contains 5.8S ribosomal RNA, internal transcribed spacer 2, and large subunit ribosomal RNA
Rfam family: 5.8S ribosomal RNA (bases 1-120)
Source: RNAcentral